RNAcentral lists this microRNA precursor (68 nucleotides) under Caenorhabditis japonica. Its description in RNAcentral is "pre miRNA Cjp-lin-4". It matches the Rfam family "lin-4 microRNA precursor family", at positions 7 to 75 of the family's 80-position model. Rfam says of the family: The extents of the hairpin precursors are not generally known and are estimated based on hairpin prediction. The products are thought to have regulatory roles through complementarity to mRNA. The involvement of Dicer in miRNA processing suggests a relationship with the phenomenon of RNA interference. Lineage: Eukaryota; Metazoa; Nematoda; Chromadorea; Rhabditida; Rhabditidae. The record is from RNAcentral.
UCCUGUUCCCUGAGACCUCAAGUGUGAAAAUAUCUGAUAUCUCACACCUGGGCUCUCCGGGUACCAGG